UACGGAGGGUGCAAGCGUUAUCCGGAUUCACUGGGUUUAAAGGGUGCGUAGGUGGGUAUGUAAGUCAGUGGUGAAAUCCCCGAGCUUAACUUGGGAACUGCCGUUGAUACUAUAUAUCUUGAAUGUCGUAGAGGUAAGCGGAAUAUGUCAUGUAGCGGUGAAAUGCUUAGAGAUGACAUAGAACACCAAUUGCGAAGGCAGCUUGCUAUGCGAUUAUUGACACUGAGGCACGAAAGCGUGGGUAGCAAAC
RNAcentral lists this ribosomal RNA (250 nucleotides) under uncultured bacterium. Its description in RNAcentral is "partial 16S ribosomal RNA". It matches the Rfam family "Bacterial small subunit ribosomal RNA", at positions 524 to 773 of the family's 1533-position model. The record is from RNAcentral.